RNAcentral lists this ribosomal RNA (549 nucleotides) under Triticum aestivum (bread wheat). Its description in RNAcentral is "partial small subunit ribosomal RNA". Lineage: Eukaryota; Viridiplantae; Streptophyta; Magnoliopsida; Poales; Poaceae. The record is from RNAcentral.
AUGUUGCAUGAAUUAAAAGACCUGUGUAAGAAUGUGGUCUUGACAGACCAAGAGGAUAGGUGUAGCUGGCUCCUGAAUAAAACUGCUAGAUUCACUAUCAGAUCUUUGUAUCUAACUUUGAAAUCGAGUCAGGGACCUUGGCCUCAUAGAAAGUUAUGGUAUGCAAAAAUCCCGCUGAAAAUUAAAGUUUUCCUUUGGCUUGUCUUCAAGAAUAGCAUUUUAACUAGAGAUAAUCUAGCAAAGAGGAAUUGGAAAGGUAAAGAUGUUAGCUGCAGCUUUUGUGAUCAUAAUGAAAAUGUAGAGCACCUUUCUUGUAACUGUGUGGUUGCCAAGUUUGUUUGGGGAGUAGUUGGAAGUGUGACUGGGUUGGCUAAUAUUCCUUGCAAGAUUGAAGAGUUUAGUGGAUGUAUAGAAAGUUUUCCUAAUAAGAAUCAGAGACAGGUGUUAGCAGUGGGUGUUGCGGCAGUGUUUUGGUCUUUGUGGAAAGACAAACCUCGGCCACUUUCCAUCAUGUUUACCCGCAUGAUCCUUGAAGGAAAUAUGCCCUAG